AAGCAAAGCGAAGGAGAUGGGAAAGUAAGGGUCUGCGAGCAAGAGGAGAGGGAGGGAGCUGAUGGUUUCUCAGUUUAUGUGACUCAGAUUCUGAGAAUGAUAUAAGAGAAGAAAACGAAAGGUCUCUUUGGAUAUGUUUAUUUAUACCACCAUAAAAAUGACAACACUUUGGUAUAGGGUCAAAAUUCAGUUGGUUUGGUUUUUUAAUGAUUUUUUGGUUAAAAAAUUGAACCGAACCAAAAACCGAACUAUCAUAAAAUCUUAAAUCAAUACCGAACCGAUUAAAUAGAAAACCGAACUGAAAAAAGGAAUUAAAUCAGUUCGGUUUUUCGGUUAAAACCGUUAUGUGCUCACCCUUGCUUAAGAAGUUGAAUGGGGAGUGGCCUACGUUAGUAUAGUUGUUGAUACUUUUGUGGACAAACUGGCUGUGCAUCUACAUCAUGUUUUUGUACUGAAUAAAGCAUGAAAUUAGGUUUGCUCAAGAAGUAAUGUCCAUUAUUCUAGAGGAUGAACUGUUAACUCUUAGAUAUAUCUUAUAUGUACUAUGGAUAAUAAAGAUGAUAAAUAAUUAAAUAUAUGUUGGGCUUAUCAGCUUAUGACAAUCACUUUUGAUCCUUAACUGAAUACUUUUUGAUUGCUAUUUUGUUAGCCUACAGAGGUAUGAAUCUGUAAUGGAUUGAAUGAUUUUAACCUUUUAUGUAUGCCACAUUUCUUUCUUUGGCAAAAAUGUUCAGUGAUCCACUUAGAGAAACUGGGAAAGUUGUGGAUGUU
RNAcentral lists this unclassified non-coding RNA (771 nucleotides) under Hevea brasiliensis (rubber tree). The record is from RNAcentral. Lineage: Eukaryota; Viridiplantae; Streptophyta; Magnoliopsida; Malpighiales; Euphorbiaceae.